Molecule: ribosomal RNA, 497 nt
Filed under: uncultured bacterium
Lineage: Bacteria
Description: partial 16S ribosomal RNA
Rfam family: Bacterial small subunit ribosomal RNA
Source: RNAcentral
GAUGAACGCUGGCGGCGUGCCUAAUACAUGCAAGUCGAGCGAACAGACGAUGAUCUUGCUCCUUGCACGUUAGCCGCGGACGUGUGAGUAACACGUAUGUACCCUACCUAUCUUACUGGUAUAACUUCGGGAAACCGGAUCUAAUACCGUAUAAUAUUUCGAACCGCAGGGUUCGAUAGUGAAAUAUGGCUUUGCUAUCACUUAUAGAUGGACCUGCGCCGGAUUGGCUAGUUGGUAAGGUAACGGCUUAUCAAGGCAACGAUACGUAGCCGACCUGAGAGGGUGAUCGGCCACACUGGAACUGAGACACGGUCCAGAGUCCUACGGGAGGCAGCAGUAGGGAAUCGUCCGCAAUGGGCGAAAGCCUGACGGAGCAACGCCGAGUGAGUGAUGAAGAUCUUCGGAUCGUAAAACUCUGUUAUUAGGGAAGAACAAACGUGUAAGUAACUGUGCACGUCUUGACGGUACCUAAUCAGAAAGCCACGGCUAACUACGUG